This 253-nucleotide ribosomal RNA is filed under the name uncultured Ktedonobacter sp. Its description in RNAcentral is "partial 16S ribosomal RNA". It matches the Rfam family "Bacterial small subunit ribosomal RNA", at positions 524 to 776 of the family's 1533-position model. The record is from RNAcentral. Lineage: Bacteria; Bacillati; Chloroflexota; Ktedonobacteria; Ktedonobacterales; Ktedonobacteraceae.
UACGUAGGAGGCAAGCGUUGUCCGGAGUUACUGGGCGUAAAGCGCACGCAGGCGGUCUUGUCAGUCUGUAGGGACAGGGCACAGCUCAACUGUGUCAGGCUUACGGAAACUGCAAGACUUGAGGGCUUCAGAGGGAUGGGGAAUUCCGGGUGGAGUGGUGAAAUGCGUAGAGAUCCGGAAGAACACCAAAGGCGAAGGCACCAUCCUGGGGAGUCACUGACGCUCGGGUGCGAAAGCCAGGGGAGCGAACGGG